GAUGAACGCUGGCGGCGUGCUUAACACAUGCAAGUCGAACGGUGAAGCAGAGCUUGCUCUGUGGAUCAGUGGCGAACGGGUGAGUAACACGUGAGCAACCUGCCCCUGACUCUGGGAUAAGCGCUGGAAACGGCGUCUAAUACUGGAUAUGAGCUGCGCCCGCAUGGGCAGCAGGUGGAAAGAUUUUUCGGUGUGGGAUGGGCUCACGGCCUAUCAGCUUGUUGGUGAGGUAAUGGCUCACCAAGGCGUCGACGGGUAGCCGGCCUGAGAGGGUGACCGGCCACACUGGGACUGAGACACGGCCCAGACUCCUACGGGAGGCAGCAGUGGGGAAUAUUGCACAAUGGGCGGAAGCCUGAUGCAGCAACGCCGCGUGAGGGAUGACGGCCUUCGGGUUGUAAACCUCUUUUAGCAGGGAAGAAGCGAGAGUGACGGUACCUGCAGAAAAAGCGCCGGCUAACUACGUG
This 467-nucleotide ribosomal RNA is filed under the name uncultured bacterium. RNAcentral's name for it is "partial 16S ribosomal RNA". It matches the Rfam family "Bacterial small subunit ribosomal RNA", at positions 28 to 507 of the family's 1533-position model. The record is from RNAcentral.